UGUGGUGUCACUUGCGUACUUCUUGUCUC
This 29-nucleotide non-coding RNA is filed under the name Homo sapiens (human). Lineage: Eukaryota; Metazoa; Chordata; Mammalia; Primates; Hominidae. The record is from RNAcentral.